GAUGAAGAACGUAGCGAAAUGCGAUACGUAGUGUGAAUUGCAGAAUUCAGUGAAUCAUCGAACCUUUGAACGCACAUUGCACCUCUCGGUAUUCCGGGAGGUAUGCCUGUUCGAGCGUCAUUUGUACCCUCAAGCUCUGCUUGGUGUUGGGUGUUUGUUCCGCCUCUGUGUGUGAACUCGCCUCAAAACAAUUGGCAGCCGGCGUACUUGUUUCGGAGCGCAGCACAUUUUGCGAUCCAGAUCAACGUACAGCGGCAUCCAAGAAGCCUUAUUUAACGCUCUUGACCUCGGAUCAGGUAGGGAUACCCGCUGAACUUAAGCAUAUCAAUAAGCGGAGGA
RNAcentral lists this unclassified non-coding RNA (339 nucleotides) under soil metagenome. RNAcentral describes it as "partial contains 5.8S ribosomal RNA, internal transcribed spacer 2, and large subunit ribosomal RNA". The stretch from base 1 to 120 matches the Rfam family "5.8S ribosomal RNA", at positions 35 to 154 of the family's 154-position model. The record is from RNAcentral.